RNAcentral lists this ribosomal RNA (498 nucleotides) under uncultured bacterium. RNAcentral's name for it is "bacterial SSU rRNA". It matches the Rfam family "Bacterial small subunit ribosomal RNA", at positions 791 to 1296 of the family's 1533-position model. The record is from RNAcentral.
UAGUCCACGCCCUAAACGAUGCUAACUGGAUAUUCGCCUUCGAGGUGAGUGUCUGAGGGAAGCCAUUAAGUUAGCCACCUGGGGAGUACGUCGGCAACGAUGAAACUCAAAGGAAUUGACGGGGGCCCGCACAAGCGGUGGAGCAUGUGGUUUAAUUCGAUGAUACGCGAGGAACCUUACCAGGGCCUAAAUGCAGUAUGACAGAUUUGGAAACAGAUUUUUCUUCGGACAUAUUGCAAGGUGCUGCAUGGUUGUCGUCAGCUCGUGCCGUGAGGUGUCAGGUUAAGUCCUAUAACGAGCGCAACCCCUAUUGCUAGUUGCCAGCGGAUAAUGCCGGGGACUCUAGUGAGACUGCCGGUGCAAACCGUGAGGAAGGUGGGGAUGACGUCAAAUCAUCACGGCCCUUACGUCCUGGGCCACACACGUGCUACAAUGGUAGGGACAGAGAGCAGCCACUUCGCGAGAAGGAGCGAAUCUAUAAACCCUACCACAGUUCGG